GUGCAGCCGCCGCGGUAAUACCGGCAGCUCGAGUGAUGGCCGAUCUUAUUGGGCCUAAAGCGUUCGUAGCCGGCCACGCAAGUCCCUCGGGAAAUCCGUCAGCCCAACUGACGGGCGUCCGGUGGAAACUGCGUGGCUUGGGACCGGAAGACCCGAAGGGUACGUCUUGGGUAGGAGUGAAGUCCCGUAAUCCUGGACGGACCGCCGAUGGCGAAAGCACUUCGAGAAAACGGAUCCGACAGUGAGGGACGAAAGCCAGGGUCUCCAACCGGAUUAGAAACCCCUGUAGUCC
RNAcentral lists this ribosomal RNA (292 nucleotides) under uncultured bacterium. RNAcentral describes it as "partial 16S ribosomal RNA". It matches the Rfam family "Archaeal small subunit ribosomal RNA", at positions 455 to 747 of the family's 1478-position model. The record is from RNAcentral.